This 517-nucleotide ribosomal RNA is filed under the name Brachyspira aalborgi. RNAcentral describes it as "bacterial SSU rRNA". It matches the Rfam family "Bacterial small subunit ribosomal RNA", at positions 106 to 640 of the family's 1533-position model. Lineage: Bacteria; Pseudomonadati; Spirochaetota; Spirochaetia; Brachyspirales; Brachyspiraceae. The record is from RNAcentral.
GUGAGUAACACGUAGGUAAUCUGCCGUAGAGUGGGGGAUAACCCAUGGAAACAUGGACUAAUACCGCAUAUACUCUUGACGCUYAAGCGUAGUAGAGGAAAGGAGCAAUCCGCUUUAUGAUGAGCCUGCGGCCUAUUAGCCUGUUGGUGAGAUAAAAGCCCACCAAAGCUACGAUAGGUAGCCGACCUGAGAGGGUGACCGGCCACAUUGGGACUGAGAUACGGCCCAGACUCCUACGGGAGGCAGCAGCUGAGAAUCUUCCACAAUGGACGAAAGUCUGAUGGAGCGACAUCGCGUGAGGGAUGAAGGCCUUCGGGUUGUAAACCUUGGAAAUUAUCGAAGAAUGAGUGACAGUAGAUAAUGUAAGCCUCGGCUAACUACGUGCCAGCAGCCGCGGUAAUACGUAGGAGGCAAACGUUGCUCGGAUUUACUGGGCGUAAAGGGUGAGUAGGCGGAACUAUAAGUCUAAGGUGAAAUAUCGAAGCUCAACUUCGGAAACGCCUUGGAUACUGUGGUU